This is a ribosomal RNA of Danio rerio (zebrafish), 118 nucleotides long. The record is from Ensembl. Lineage: Eukaryota; Metazoa; Chordata; Actinopteri; Cypriniformes; Danionidae.
UUCAUCCUGCCAUAUCACCCUGCACCCCAAAUACGGUUACCUACUGAAGCUAAGCAGGGCUGAGCCUGGUCAGUACCUGGAUGGAAGACCAUAUGGGAAAACUAGGUUACUGUUGAAA